AUGAACGCUGGCGGCGUGCCUCAUCCAUGCAAGUCGAGCGCACGGACGAGAAGCUUGCUUCUCUGAUGUUAGCGGCGGACGGGUGAGUAACACGUGGAUAACCUACCUAUAAGACUGGGAUAACUUCGGGAAACCGGAGCUAAUACCGGAUAAUAUUUUGAACCGCAUGGUUCAAAAGUGAAAGACGGUCUUGCUGUCACUUAUAGAUGGAUCCGCGCUGCAUUAGCUAGUUGGUAAGGUAACGGCUUACCAAGGCAACGAUGCAUAGCCGACCUGAGAGGGUGAUCGGCCACACUGGAACUGAGACACGGUCCAGACUCCUACGGGAGGCAGCAGUAGGUAAUCUUCCGCAAUGGGCGAAAGCCUGACGGAGCAACGCCGCGUGAGUGAUGAAGGUCUUCGGAUCGUAAAACUCUGUUAUUAGGGAAGAACAUAUGUGUAAGUAACUGUGCACAUCUUGACGGUACCUAAUCAGAAAGCCACGGCUAACUACGUG
RNAcentral lists this ribosomal RNA (496 nucleotides) under uncultured bacterium. Its description in RNAcentral is "partial 16S ribosomal RNA". It matches the Rfam family "Bacterial small subunit ribosomal RNA", at positions 29 to 507 of the family's 1533-position model. The record is from RNAcentral.